GACGAACGCUGGCGGCGUGCUUAACACAUGCAAGUCGAACGGAAAGGCCCUGCUUUUGUGGGGUGCUCGAGUGGCGAAAGGGUAAGUAACACGUGAGUAACCUGCCCUUGACUUUGGGAUAACUUCAGGAAACUGGGGCUAAUACCGGAUAGGAGCUCCUGCUGCAUGGUGGGGGUUGGAAAGUUUCGGCGGUUGGGGAUGGACUCGCGGCUUAUCAGCUUGUUGGUGGGGUAGUGGCUUACCAAGGCUUUGACGGGUAGCCGGCCUGAGAGGGUGACCGGCCACAUUGGGACUGAGAUACGGCCCAGACUCCUACGGGAGGCAGCAGUGGGGAAUAUUGCACAAUGGGCGGAAGCCUGAUGCAGCAACGCCGCGUGCGGGAUGACGGCCUUCGGGUUGUAAACCGCUUUCGCCUGUGACGAAGCGUGAGUGACGGUAAUGGGUAAAGAAGCACCGGCUAACUACGUG
Molecule: ribosomal RNA, 468 nt
Filed under: uncultured bacterium
Lineage: Bacteria
Description: partial 16S ribosomal RNA
Rfam family: Bacterial small subunit ribosomal RNA
Source: RNAcentral